ACACGAUAGGACUCUGGCCUA
Molecule: unclassified non-coding RNA, 21 nt
Filed under: Chlamydomonas reinhardtii
Lineage: Eukaryota; Viridiplantae; Chlorophyta; Chlorophyceae; Chlamydomonadales; Chlamydomonadaceae
Description: small RNA Cre_0202
Source: RNAcentral